Molecule: long non-coding RNA, 786 nt
Filed under: Malus domestica (apple)
Lineage: Eukaryota; Viridiplantae; Streptophyta; Magnoliopsida; Rosales; Rosaceae
Description: long non-coding RNA (MDOM_LNC011466)
Source: RNAcentral
GCUAUCCAUUCCAAGCCCGAAACAUGCUCCAAAGGCCUCCAAAAUGCAUCUUCUUGCAUACUUUGUACAUAGACUCUGAAAACACACGAAAAUGACUUUAAACAUUAAAAUAACUAAGGAAACACGACAUAAAUGCACAAGAACAAGCCAACUAAGUCGCAUAAAUAUGCUCCUAUCAGUGAUGUUAUAAUUUGAGCAACAUGAUGUGAAUAAAGUCUAUUUGAUAGACUUGAUAAAACAUAGAUGUUACUCGAGAAAUGACAAAACAUGACAUGGUCAAUUUUGAAGUAAAGACUUGAAAUUGGACUUAUUGAUAUAGCAAGGCUGUCUCAAUAAUGUUAUAUGGGAAUUAAAUCUCAAAUGUUGUAGAUUUAAGAAAGCAUUUUCCUAUGUCAUAGGAAAUCACUUUCAUAACCCUUAUAAUGAAUGUGUCAUAAAAUCACAAAAGGGACACAUGUAUUGACUUGUGAAGUAGAUAUCCAAAAGUGAAGAACCACAUGUGCUGUCACUUUAAGAUAUUAUUAUAUCCCAGGAUCAGAACCAAAGCAACUGAUAGAGUAUUAUUGUCUUUAAGAAAGAAACAUCAGAGUGGGACUCUGGAAGCGUGCAUUCACUUAGGUUGUUAACCAAAGUGAAAAUAAUCCAUUUUAACAAAUGGAACUUCAUAUUGGAUGAAGUACUAAUCAUAUGAAUGAAUUGUUAGUAUUGUACUACAAUGGUCUCGAGGUUGGAGCAAAGUUUGUAUAAAGUAUACAAACGAAAUAUAUGUCGAUAUAUAGUUUUAGA